Molecule: ribosomal RNA, 1053 nt
Filed under: Triticum aestivum (bread wheat)
Lineage: Eukaryota; Viridiplantae; Streptophyta; Magnoliopsida; Poales; Poaceae
Description: partial small subunit ribosomal RNA
Source: RNAcentral
GUGAGCUUGGUGGUGGCCAAGAUUCACGAGGCCGCCGCAGUCGGUGGUGUGGUGGACAUGAGUGAGCUGCUCAAGACAUUCACAUAUGACAUGGCAUGUCGCAUCGUGUCCGGAGAAUUCUUCCUAAAAGAAGGACAGAGCAAGUUGUUCCAAGACCUCACCAAUGAUACGUCACUGCUGCUAGGAGGGUUCAAGGUGGAGGAGUACUUCCCAACAUUGUCUAGGGUAGGACUGCUUAAAAGGACAGUUCGUGCAAAGGCUGAGAGACUAAGGCAUAGAUGGGCCGAUCUGCUGGACAAGGUGAUCGAUUAUCAUGAGAACGAGGACAAGUCAGUGUUAGAUAACCAGGGUAGUAAUUUCGUCGAUAUUCUCUUGUCUGUUCAGCUCGAGUAUGGUCUCACAAGAGAGCAGAUGAAAGCUCUCCUAACCGAUGUAUUUUUCGGUUUAACUGACACAUCAUCUAACACCCUCGAAUUCACAAUGGCUGAGCUCAUGAGGAGGCCCCGCCUGAUUGGGAAGCUACAAGACGAGGUAAGGAGUAUCGAACCCCAGGGACAGGAAAUUGUUAAUGAAGCCGACAUUAGCAGUAUGACAUACCUAAGAGCAGUCCUAAAGGAGUCAUUCCGAUUUCAUCCUGUUGCACCUUUACUUGCUCCACACCUUGCCAUGGCUGACUGCAGCAUCGAUGGGUACAUGAUUCCUGCUGGGACGCAUGUCUUUGUCAAUGUAUGGGCCAUUGGUAGAGACUCUAGCUCAUGGGAGGAAAGUGAAGAAUUCAUACCUGAAAGAUUUACAGAGGAAGGCCGUGAUGUGCAUGUCAACUUUGUAGGGAGUAAUUUUAAACUCUUGCCGUUCGGGGCAGGACGCAGGAUAUGCCCUGGUAUAAACCUUGGAAUCAUGACUGUUGAGCUUAUGUUGGCAAACUUGAUGUACCAUUUCAACUGGGAACUGCCAAUAGGGGUUGAGAGGAAAGACAUUGAUAUGACAGAGGUGUUUGGACUAACUGUGCGCCUGAAGGAGAAAUUACUGUUAGUUCCAAAAUCAUGCAUGUAA